RNAcentral lists this ribosomal RNA (484 nucleotides) under uncultured bacterium. RNAcentral's name for it is "partial 16S ribosomal RNA". It matches the Rfam family "Bacterial small subunit ribosomal RNA", at positions 30 to 507 of the family's 1533-position model. The record is from RNAcentral.
AUUGAACGCUGGCGGCAGGCCUAACACAUGCAAGUCGAGCGGAUGAAGGGAGCUUGCUCCUGGAUUCAGCGGCGGACGGGUGAGUAAUGCCUAGGAAUCUGCCUGGUAGUGGGGGAUAACGUCCGGAAACGGGCGCUAAUACCGCAUACGUCCUGAGGGGGAAAGUGGGGGAUCUUCGGACCUCACGCUAUCAGAUGAGCCUAGGUCGGAUUAGCUAGUUGGUGGGGUAAGGGCCUACCAAGGCGACGAUCCGUAACUGGUCUGAGAGGAUGAUCAGUCACACUGGAACUGAGACACGGUCCAGACUCCUACGGGAGGCAGCAGUGGGGAAUAUUGGACAAUGGGCGAAAGCCUGAUCCAGCCAUGCCGCGUGUGUGAAGAAGGUCUUCGGAUUGUAAAGCACUUUAAGUUGGGAGGAAGGGCAGUAAGUUAAUACCUUGCUGUUUUGACGUUACCAACAGAAUAAGCACCGGCUAACUUCGUG